AAAUAGCCGGAGGCCGCGGGGCGGGGUCAGCCCGGGCGGGGCUGGGCGGGAGGGGCGCCCGGCGAGCGCGGCCUCUGCCCUGGCCCCGGCCCCCGCCCCCUGCCCCGCCGCCCCGGCCCCGCUGGACCGGAGGCAGUCGCGGCCGACCCGGGCUGGCACCACCUACGAGGCCCCGGGGACCUUAUGGGAAAGGCUUACAUCACCAAAGCCUUUAGAGAAACAGUCACCUUCACAGCUCGUACAUUCUGAGCCAAUGACUGCAUACCUUCACUGCAUGCUGCACAGACUCAUCACUUCCUGCUCUGGACUGCAGACAAUAUUUGCAAUAGCGAUGUGGCAGAGAGAGAGAGAGAGAGAGAGAGAGCGAGCAUGAGCAGGGUAGGGGCAGAGAGGGGGAGACACAGAAUCUGAAGCAGGCUCCAGGCUCCGAGCUGUCAGCACAGAGCCGGAUGCAGGACUCGAAUUCACGGACUGUGAGAUCAUGACCUGAGCCAAAGUAGGACGCUCAACCGACUGAGCCACCCAGCUGCCCCUAAAUGAUCAAGAUUCUUAAAAACUGCAGAAAAAGCUCAUUUUCUUUUGGCCAACAAGCCCAUCUUGACAAUUGACGAGAGAUCAAAAAAGGGCAUGGUGUUAAAG
Long non-coding RNA from Neofelis nebulosa (Clouded leopard), 639 nucleotides. RefSeq lists it as uncharacterized. The transcript is spliced from 4 exons. NCBI's taxonomy places the organism in Eukaryota, Metazoa, Chordata, Mammalia, Carnivora, Felidae. The record is from RefSeq and is a predicted model, not a curated record.